UACGUAGGUGGCAAGCGUUAUCCGGAUUUAUUGGGCGUAAAGGGAACGCAGGCGGUCUUUUAAGUCUGAUGUGAAAGCCUUCGGCUUAACCGGAGUAGUGCAUUGGAAACUGGGAGACUUGAGUGCAGAAGAGGAGAGUGGAACUCCAUGUGUAUCGGUGAAAUGCGUAGAUAUAUGGAAGAACACCAGUGGCGAAAGCGGCUCUCUGGUCUGUAACUGACGCUGAGGUUCGAAAGCGUGGGUAGCAAACAGG
RNAcentral lists this ribosomal RNA (253 nucleotides) under uncultured bacterium. RNAcentral's name for it is "partial 16S ribosomal RNA". It matches the Rfam family "Bacterial small subunit ribosomal RNA", at positions 524 to 776 of the family's 1533-position model. The record is from RNAcentral.